AACGAACGCUGGCGGCAUGCCUAACACAUGCAAGUCGAACGAGACCUUCGGGUCUAGUGGCGCACGGGUGCGUAACGCGUGGGAACCUUCCCUUAGGUUCGGAAUAACUCCCCGAAAGGGGUGCUAAUACCGGAUAAUGUCUUCGGACCAAAGAUUUAUCGCCUUUGGAUGGGCCCGCGUUGGAUUAGCUAGUUGGUAGGGUAAAAGCCUACCAAGGCGACGAUCCAUAGCUGGUCUGAGAGGAUGAUCAGCCACACUGGGACGGAGACACGGCCCAGACUCCUACGGAAGGGAGCAGUGGGGAAUAUUGGAAAAUGGGCGGAAGGCUGAUCCAGCAAUGCCGCGUAAGUGAUGAAGGCCUUAGGGUUGUAAAGCUCUUUUACCCGGGAUGAUAAUGACAGUACCGGGAGAAUAAGCUCCGGCUAACUCCGUG
This 433-nucleotide ribosomal RNA is filed under the name uncultured bacterium. RNAcentral's name for it is "partial 16S ribosomal RNA". It matches the Rfam family "Bacterial small subunit ribosomal RNA", at positions 29 to 507 of the family's 1533-position model. The record is from RNAcentral.